CUCAGUACUGUAGCCACUCUUCUACAGUUCACAGAUUCUGGUUGAUGAUGUCAUGACAGAAGAAAAUGCAAAACAGGCAGGCUUAAAUCAGCUUCCUGCUGAGCAUCACACAGCUGAGGCCUGAGACAGGGUGCAUCUGGGCCAUGGCUUUGCAGACCACUCUGGACGCAGUGCGGCUGGGGGUCCUCCUCAGCUCUUUCUGGAAGGUUGUGGAGAGCAAGGACCAAAUAUCUCAGCCUGCCACUGUGAUGUCUUCGGAGGGAGCCGUGGCCGAAAUCUCCUGCAAUCACUCUAUAUCCAAUGCUUACAACUUCUUCUGGUACCUUUACUUCCCGGGAUGUGCACCAAGGCUCCUCAUCAAGGGCUUAAGUCCUUCUCAGCAGGGACGCUACAACAUGACACAUGAGCGGUUCUCUUCAUCACUGCUCAUCCUUCAGGUGCAGGUGGCAGAUGCUGCUGUUUACUACUGUGCUCUGGAGGACACAGAGGCAGAGAGCCCGUAACAAGCUGAACAGAAACAGGGAGAGAACACAGCCUUUGCAGGAGGCGGAAAAGAGAUGAGCAAUAACCGCACCUCCCACCCCCAAUUCAGCAUUCCCCAAGCUUUUCCAUUUGGCACUGCCAUCAGAAAAAAACCUUUGAGUCCAGACACACUCUAUAUGAGUAAAUGUACAUAGGGAAAUUUGCUUUUAGGGAGUGAUUAAGUAAUGGCCCUGUAAAUCCAUGUUUUAAAUAGUCUCGAUAACUGGAACAAUUUUGACCCAUUUCUUUUUUUGAAAUUGGAGUUGAUUUCUUGCUUUCCCUUUUAAAGCGGCUGAUGAUGAACUUGUGAUAGGAGGAAGAGUCAUGUCCACUCUGCCAUUUUCUUCUUGCUUUCUGGGUUUGCAUUUUAAAUCUUAUGUGCCCGCUUUAGUCUCUUUUCAAGCCAUGUAUCUGUUUUGUAAAGGAUACUUUAGUUGACAUUGGGUAACAGAGUAAGGUGAAAGGAAAUGAAUGCACCAACACCCCUGAGCUUCAAUCCUUCUCUCAGGAUAUCUUAAUUAUGAUAAUCUAAUAUACAGACCCACUGAGGAUGCUAGUGUCAGUCAGUAUAUAUACAUAUAUUUUUUGCUUUUUAGGGCUGCACCCAUGGCAUAUGACAGUUUCCAGGCUAGAGG
Non-coding RNA from Phacochoerus africanus (Common warthog), 1157 nucleotides. Lineage: Eukaryota; Metazoa; Chordata; Mammalia; Artiodactyla; Suidae. The record is from the annotation of a RefSeq genome assembly.